CGUGACCAACCUCGCCCCAUGCUCCAGAAUAGCUCUUGGAAACGGGUGGUAAUGCUGGAUGCUCCAACUUGACGCAUGUCUUGUUGGGAAAGUGUUUAGUGGCNAUGGGAUGGGGUCGCGUCCUAUCAGCUUGUAGGCGGGGUAAUGGCCCACCUAGGCUUCGACGGGUAGCCGGCCUGAGAGGGCGGACGGCCACAUUGGGGACUGAGAUACGGCCCAGACUCCUACGGGAGGCAGCAGCA
This 242-nucleotide ribosomal RNA is filed under the name uncultured Gardnerella sp. RNAcentral's name for it is "partial 16S ribosomal RNA". It matches the Rfam family "Bacterial small subunit ribosomal RNA", at positions 116 to 355 of the family's 1533-position model. The record is from RNAcentral. Lineage: Bacteria; Bacillati; Actinomycetota; Actinomycetes; Bifidobacteriales; Bifidobacteriaceae.